UGGGGAAUAUUGCACAAUGGGCGAAAGCCUGAUGCAGCAACGCCGCGUGAGUGAUGAAGGCCUUCGGGUUGUAAAGCUCUGUCUUCUGGGACGAUAAUGACGGUACCAGAGGAGGAAGCCACGGCUAACUACGUGCCAGCAGCCGCGGUAAUACGUAGGUGGCAAGCGUUGUCCGGAUUUACUGGGCGUAAAGGAUGCGUAGGCGGAUACUUAAGUCAGAUGUGAAAAUCCCGGGCUUAACUUGGGAACUGCAUUUGAAACUGGGUAUCUAGAGUGCGGGAGAGGAAAGUGGAAUUCCUAGUGUAGCGGUGAAAUGCGUAGAGAUUAGGAAGAACACCAGUGGCGAAGGCGACUUUCUGGACCGUAACUGACGCUGAGGCAUGAAAGCGUGGGGAGCAAAC
RNAcentral lists this ribosomal RNA (401 nucleotides) under uncultured bacterium. Its description in RNAcentral is "bacterial SSU rRNA". It matches the Rfam family "Bacterial small subunit ribosomal RNA", at positions 355 to 773 of the family's 1533-position model. The record is from RNAcentral.